GUUUUUAUGAGCUGCUCAGGCUGGUGAUUAUUCUAUAUAUGAUGUUAUCUGAUCAGCGAAUGGAGUGUGGUGGUUGAGGAAAUUACAGCCAAAACCAACAAAUCUGAUGUCGUCACUUGCACUCCAUCCGACACCCAUAACUUUUCUUUGAGGGUUUGGCGAAGUUUUAAACAGUUAUAUCUAAUGAUUUGGAAAAGGAACUGACUCAUCAGGAUGUUCUAAGACAAAAAAUGUUUGUAUGAGAGUCAUAGGAAUGUGAAACCCUAUGGGGAUGACUUAUCAUUCUAGGGGUUGUGUAAAAUUUGCUGAAGUGUGUUUUUCUGUGGCAAUGUGGACGUAGCAGUGAGAGGACACCCGUAUCCAGUCAUAGACAUACACAGAAAAGUUUAGCAUUGUUCACAUAAUAUGUCUCUCUGCUCGAAGAAUCGUUCUCUUCUAGUGAGGAAUGCCAAGAAAAAGACAUUUCUG
Saccostrea cuccullata (small rock oyster) is the source of this 468-nucleotide long non-coding RNA. RefSeq lists it as uncharacterized. The record is from RefSeq and is a predicted model, not a curated record. NCBI's taxonomy places the organism in Eukaryota, Metazoa, Mollusca, Bivalvia, Ostreida, Ostreidae. The transcript is spliced from 3 exons.